CCAAGAUGGCGGCCUGCGGAUCGGUGCGAGGUCGUCGCUGAGGCCGCGGUCAUGCGGGAGCCCUGGGUCCCGCGGCUGGGGCGCCCUUCGGUUGACCCACGAGCGUGCUGCGACACAGCGCCCACGAACUAUGCCCUUGGCGCCUAGGCAUGGGACGGCACCUUGGGAAGCGCUUCUCGGGCGGCUCGUGCUCUGCGCCGCCCUGUGUGUGUGCCGCGGCAGCGGCAGCGGCAGCGGCGAGCUGCCUCCUCCGGCCGCCGAGCCACCCGUGUCGUUCCCCCCGUUCCGGUCGUCGGCGCGCUGCAACGCUUCGUGUAGCGCUGGAGCGGCAGCCGCGGCCGCAUCGUGCGCGUCGCCGCCUGCUCGGCUGCCCUUCUGCACGCACCUGCCCAUGCGGCGGUUGCUGCUGGACGCCGGCUCGUGUCACGCCGACCGCCUCGAACGGGCGCUGCGCGCCGACCAGCUCGCCUGCCUGGUCGCCUGCGAGUUCCGCGCGCUCCUGAACCGCUUUGACUGCCUCGGAGGCUACUCCGCCAAAUGGAACUGCCACACAUGUGCCGUGGUGUACCGCGAAUGGACUUGCGCCAUGCUGGUGCCCGUGUACGGUCCCACGGCGGCCGAUGCCGGUCGCCGGAAGACCGCCGACGGCGGGUCGCCAGCACAAGCAGCAGCGGCAGCAGCGGCAACUGCGGCGCCGCCGACGGCGGCGGCGGCGGAAGGGAGCCUCGCCCAGCCGCCGCCGCCGCCUCCUGCACCAUCGCCGAUGAAGCCGUGCCGCGAGUUCUGCCACCGCGUCGAGGAGCAGUGCCCUUACUUCCACCCGGCUGCCAGGGAGCAGUACGCGGGGGAGCCCGUAUUCAUAUGCAUCGACCCCAACAUCCCGGACCUACCGUCAAUCAGCAACUCGUCGUACGGACCGCCGGGGGACUGCUACGAGCCGUGCCACGUGAACGCGUCGUUCAUGGACGACCGGCCGUGCAGUCCGGACGGUUACGGCGACCAUCUCGCCUUGGACUCUUCUUUGGUCGCGACCACGACGGUGGCCUCCAGCCCCACGGGGUCGGUAGCCGCCGCCGACGGUGGUGGUGGUGUUGUUGUUGGUGGGGCCAGUGGUGGGGGGCGGACGCAGCGACCGUGCUGUGCGCUCUCGGUGACCGCGGUGGUGACGGUGGUGACAGUGUGGUGGUCGGCGGGCCGGACCCGCGGCCGGCACAGAACCCUCUGCUCAUAGCACCGGCUGCCGCCUUCCUCCUCCUCCUCCGUGCCAGCAGACGACGACUGCCAAAGCGGCGACGACGCCGCCGCCAUCCAACCGCCACAGCAGCCGCUGACCCUCGUCGCGUAGGACGCCGGCCGCCGUGCCGGUGAGAUGCGCGCCGCCACCAACCACAAGACGAGGCGUCGACGGCUGCCACUGCUGCCGGGAGAGCCCUCUCCGGAACACAAGGGUCUUCUCGUGCAACACAAGGAAGACCAGCGCAGACCAACCCCAGCGCCGUCCUCCGGAUUCGCCUCGAGGGCAGCAGCGGUAGUGGCGGUGCAAGUGGUGGCUCGGCCACGGCGGACGACGUCCCCACUCUCCGAGCAACAUCAACAACGAGUCCGCCACCACGGCACACCGCCAUCCCCACACCACUGGAAGCGGUGCGCGACAGCCUCUCCGGGUUUCCGGCACGCACUCACUACGCACACACACACACUCACACGUUCACUGACACGCGUAGACAAA
Rhipicephalus sanguineus (brown dog tick) is the source of this 1729-nucleotide RNA transcript. RefSeq lists it as uncharacterized. Lineage: Eukaryota; Metazoa; Arthropoda; Arachnida; Ixodida; Ixodidae. The record is from RefSeq and is a predicted model, not a curated record. The transcript has 4 exons.